UACGGAGGAUGCGAGCGUUAUCCGGAUUUAUUGGGUUUAAAGGGUGCGUAGGCGGCAGAUCAAGUCAGCGGUGAAAGUUCAAGGCUCAACCUUGAAAUUGCCGUUGAAACUGGUCAGCUAGAGUGUAUUGGAGGUAAGCGGAAUUCGUGGUGUAGCGGUGAAAUGCAUAGAUAUCACGAAGAACCCCGAUUGCGAAAGCAGCUUACUACACUACAACUGACGCUGAAGCACGAAAGCGUGGGGAUCAAACAGG
Molecule: ribosomal RNA, 253 nt
Filed under: uncultured bacterium
Lineage: Bacteria
Description: partial 16S ribosomal RNA
Rfam family: Bacterial small subunit ribosomal RNA
Source: RNAcentral